This is a long non-coding RNA of Uloborus diversus, 1175 nucleotides long. RefSeq lists it as uncharacterized. The transcript has 4 exons. Lineage: Eukaryota; Metazoa; Arthropoda; Arachnida; Araneae; Uloboridae. The record is from RefSeq and is a predicted model, not a curated record.
UUUGCCUUUGCUAACUCAAAAUAAUAAUAAUCCAAAUUUAUUGCUCGUUGUAAUGUAUGCAUUAAUGUUUAUAGCUGUAGGUUUUUAUAACAAAAAAUUUAUUAGUUUGGAUGAGGUAACUCAGCAGAAUGUUCACUUUUGAGUAUAACACAUGGAACUCGAUUUUGCACGAGUAUUACAUUUUAUCAUUGUUGAUUAGUGUACUUGCAGUUGUUGUAACUUUUAUUGUCUCAAGAAAAGCAAACUUCCUGGCAACUAUAAAAGACAAAAUUGAAGUAUCUCCACAAGUUGAAGAGAAAACUUCAAUGGAUGAAGCGGAAGAAGAUACAACUGAAGUACCUACUGUAAAUAUGAAACGAUCACCGGCUUUGGUUGCAGAAAAAGUAAUUCAGGCCAACAUGACUGAGGAACAAAAAUUACUUGAACAUCAAGUUCGACAGAAACAAUUAGCACAGAUUUAUGAACUCAUGUUGAAGCAAAGUGAUAAAUUUGGAAGCAUCAGCUUGUCAGAAGUAGAAGAGCAAAUGAAGCUGUACCAAUAAACACAACUAAUAUCUUUCUGGAGUGUAAAGGAGAGUGAUUGUAGAAAAAUACUUAAAGAAGAAGGUGUGUCAAAACUUAAAGAUUUUACAAACAACAAACUUGAAAUUACACUCUAUCUAGUCAUUUUUAAAUGUAUUUGAUCAACAAAAUGAGUUUAUUGCUUUUUAUGGCAUUGUUAAAUGAUGAUUCUUCUGCAAAUUUGUUUAUUUAUCAAGAAUAUUUUCCUACAAUUGUAAUUUACUAAUAUAACUUAUGAAUAAUGGAAAAAAAAUUCUGAAAGAAAGCUAUAUUGGCAUAUUUUACUAGUCAAACUUAAGAGUCAUAUAAUAUGUAUCUUACAACUUGAAAUGUUAUUUGAUAUUAUUUUGGCCUGAGCAUUUUCUUUUAAUGUGCUUUGAAGUUGUAAUGAAAAAAAAAUCGCUCCGAAUGGAUAAUAGCUUUUCCUGUUUUCUUGUCAAUUUGUUAUUUAAAUUCUUUUCUUAAAACCAAAGACUUUAUAACAUACACAACAAAAAUCUUAUGCUGCUAUAUAAAUUUAAUAAAUAUGUAUAUAAAAGUUUUUUUUCCCCUGUGCGUUAUCCCUAACAAAACUUCAUUUAUUUGUAAAAAUGAUAUAUAAUACUAACAGAAAA